This 785-nucleotide ribosomal RNA is filed under the name uncultured archaeon. Its description in RNAcentral is "bacterial SSU rRNA". It matches the Rfam family "Archaeal small subunit ribosomal RNA", at positions 85 to 879 of the family's 1478-position model. The record is from RNAcentral.
ACGGCUCAGUAACACGUAGAUAAUCUGCCCUUAAGUUAGGAAUACCCUCGGGAAACUGAGAUCAAAACCUGAUAGGAGAUGGUUUCUGGAAUGAAUCAUCUCUCAAGUUAAGGAUGAGUCUGCGGCUGAUUAGGCAGUUGGCGGGGUAAUGGCCCACCAAACCUUUGAUCAGUAAGGGCCCUUAGCGGGGAAACCCUGAGAACGAGUCUGAGACACAACUCGUAGCCCUACGGGGUGCAGCAGUUAGGGAUUUUCUGCAAUGCGCGUGAGCGUGACAGAGCGGGCCAGAGUGUUUUUCCUUUAUGGAAAAACUUUUGCCAGCUGUAAAAAGGCUGGCGAAUAAGGACUGGGCAAGACCGGUGCCAGCCGCCGCGGUAAUCCCGGAAGUCCGAGUCGCAGCCACAAUUAUUGGGUCUAAAACAUCCGUAGCUUGCCUUGUAAGUCUGUUGUGAAAUUCUGUCUCUUAAGGGCAGAGAUUGCAAUGGAUACUGCUUGGCUAGAGACUGGGGGGCGUAAGGAGUACAUUCAAGGUAGUGGUAAAAUACGUUAAUCUUGGAUGGACUAACGAUUAGCGAAGGCACCUUACGAUAACAGUUCUGACAGUGAGGGAUGAAGGCUAGGGGCGCAAAUUGGAUUAGAUACCCAAGUAGUCCCAGCUGUAAACGAUGCAGGCUAGGUGUUUGGACGGCCACGUGCCGUUCUAGUGCCGCAGGGAAGCUGUUAAGCCUGCCGCCUGGGGAGUACGAUCGCAAGAUUGAAACUUAAAGGAAUUGGCGGGGGAGCAC